CCUACGGGGAGCAGCAGUGGGGAAUAUUGCACAAUGGGGGAAACCCUGAUGCAGCGACGCCGCGUGAGUGAAGAAGUAAUUCGUUAUGUAAAGCUCUAUCAGCAGGGAAGAAAAUGACGGUACCUGAGUAAGAAGCCCCGGCUAACUACGUGCCAGCAGCCGCGGUAAUACGUAGGGGGCAAGCGUUAUCCGGAUUUACUGGGUGUAAAGGGAGCGUAGACGGCAGUGCAAGUCUGGAGUGAAAGGCGGGGGCUCAACCCCCGGACUGCUCUGGAAACUGUACGGCUGGAGUGCAGGAGAGGUAAGUGGAAUUCCUAGUGUAGCGGUGAAAUGCGUAGAUAUUAGGAGGAACACCAAUAGCGUAGGCAGGUUACUGGGACGGUUCUGACACUAAGGCACGAAAGCGUAGGGAGCAAACGGGAUUAGAUACCCGUGUAGUC
Molecule: ribosomal RNA, 440 nt
Filed under: uncultured bacterium
Lineage: Bacteria
Description: partial 16S ribosomal RNA
Rfam family: Bacterial small subunit ribosomal RNA
Source: RNAcentral